AUGAACUGGAUUCUGCGACAGCUGCCCUCUUGGGGGAGGGGUUCUUCCUUCACGGGAUCCGGGCCUGAAUGCGGGGUACACAGGUUUCGGGCGCCUCACGUUGACCGGCUCCCAGGGACGCUUCAUCUUUUAGCCUUGGAGCUCUGGUUACACUUUCUCUUCCGCUCGCCGGGGCGGCCGACUUCUGAAGGUGGCGGAGUCACCGGGGCGCCACAGCACGUGCGGCCCAGACGGAGGAGGCCGGAAGAGAAGACACUUCCGCUCUCUGAACACGGCUUUUCUCGGCUUUUCUCGACUAAGUUCGCCAGCGCGUUAGGGGACUGGCCCAGUUGGCGGCGUGAAACUACCAAUGGGCGUGAGACUAAGUGUAAGGCUGAGAAUGGUGUCAUGGAACAAAGAAUAAUCACCAUUUCUUAAAAGGCUGAGGUCUAAAGUGAACACAGGUAUGUACGGAUCUGUUACUUUCUACCUCUCCCUGGUCUGUAGACUGUAGACUGCUAUAGGUAGAUGGAAGGCAGUAAGGAUUGUGUUUAGGAGAAAUCUAUUCCUGGUGGCUUUACUGGAAGGGAGUUAUUGUUCUUAUACACCAAAUCUGGAAGUAGUCAGUCCACGGAUAGCAUUUGGGCUUUCUAUCUUCCAUUUGACCAUCUUUGGCGUGAGCUUCCCUCCACAUGGUCAUAAGAUGGCUACCAAGCCUCCGAGUGUUGCCUUCAAGUUCCAGGCAGGAUGGUUAAGAGCAGAAGGUAAAAGACACACGUCAACUGAGUUUAUUUCCUUCCCCAAAGCUUAUUAUCUCAUCGUCCAGAACUGAGUCACGUGGCCUCCCAAGGAACAAGGGGGCUGCUACUCCAAAUAAAGUUGGGGUCAUUAAUAGGGAAAACA
This 882-nucleotide long non-coding RNA is filed under the name Felis catus (domestic cat). Its description in RNAcentral is "lncRNA (ENSFCAG00000051213.1)". Lineage: Eukaryota; Metazoa; Chordata; Mammalia; Carnivora; Felidae. The record is from RNAcentral.